UACGUAGGGGGCAAGCGUUAUCCGGAUUUACUGGGUGUAAAGGGAGCGUAGACGGCUGUGCAAGUCUGAAGUGAAAGGCAUGGGCUCAACCUGUGGACUGCUUUGGAAACUGUGCAGCUAGAGUGUCGGAGAGGUAAGUGGAAUUCCUAGUGUAGCGGUGAAAUGCGUAGAUAUUAGGAGGAACACCAGUGGCGAAGGCGACUUACUGGACGAUGACUGACGUUGAGGCUCGAAAGCGUGGGGAGCAAACAGG
Molecule: ribosomal RNA, 253 nt
Filed under: Dorea formicigenerans
Lineage: Bacteria; Bacillati; Bacillota; Clostridia; Lachnospirales; Lachnospiraceae
Description: partial 16S ribosomal RNA
Rfam family: Bacterial small subunit ribosomal RNA
Source: RNAcentral